This 2282-nucleotide long non-coding RNA is filed under the name Mytilus galloprovincialis (Mediterranean mussel). Lineage: Eukaryota; Metazoa; Mollusca; Bivalvia; Mytilida; Mytilidae. The record is from RNAcentral.
UCAAGACGAUUUCAUUAAUUAAAAAUAUUGUUUUAGAACAUAGUUAUCGGUCGUUGUAUAACCUGUUUCGAUCUAACGGGUCAUUGGUCAAAAUUGUAUGCAUUUAACCAUAUUAUAUUGUCAUGAACAGAAUUACGUGUACUAGUCCAACUAGAAGCUUGGAGCAGAUAUGUACUUUUCUUUCCUUUAUGGAUUGUAUUUGUUUAUUUCUUCUGUGAAUGCCUCGGGUAAGUAUGAUUUAUUUUUUAGUCAAUUUGGUUUUUGAAAAAUUUCAGCAAAAAAAACUAUAAAAAUUAUAAAGCACAUGCUUUGUCAUGAUUCAUAGACUACAACGUCAAUACUUAGAAUUUAAGAUGAGAUGUAAGUCGAUAAAAUCAAUGUCAAAUUAUAGCAAAUUUUCGAUUCAGAAAUUCUGUGUCAUUGAGAGAAUCAUUCAUGUCCUACGUAAUCUGAACUUCAUUCAACGAUCUUGUUUAUGUCAUGCAUGGUCAUAUUAUCAUUAACUUCAUUUACUGUUUUCUGAUUAAAACAUUUUAAAUUCUCAGUAUUGAUGUUAGUUUCAAUCUAUGAACCAUCAAAAAUGAUUUGAUGACCGUUUUUACAUCCAAUAAUUUACUACGAAUACAUUACACAGAUAAACAGAAAAUGAGAAACUUACCUGGUAAUUGAUGUGCAUUUUUUUCAGUUUGCAGAAAACAAAGAAAAAUUAACAAACACAUGAGUUUCAUUUGAUACGGUCCACUCAGUUACACAGUUUAAAUCACCUAUUGUUUGCAGAUGUCUAUUGUCCAUUUAUUGUCUAUUUAAAUCAAUAGUUCUCUCAUUUUUUUACCUCUUUCCUAUUAAACUUAGUUUAUUUUGGCAUCUUUUGCAAGAAAGAAAAAUGAAUAGCAAAAUCCAGAAAAGUGUAUUGUUUUCUAACACAUAAAAUGCAUUAAAAAUAUAAAUGCGGUCAUAUCAGAUAAAAGAUUAUGAUGAACCUUCAAACAUGUAUAUAUAUUAAUUACCACGACCAAUUACAUUUCAUGUUUUUUCGUCAAUUAAACUAAUACCAACCAUACAAACUGGAAAAAAUGAAUUUGAAUAGUAGUUUAUCUCCAAUUUGAGGGGAGAAAAAAAAUCUGUUAAAGCAGCUGGACAAAAAAAAAUAUUUUUAAUGCAGAUUCCCCCAUUGCUUCAUAGUCAUAAAUAAUGAUGUACGGUAUUUCUCGAAGCAUUUGAAAAACAAUGCCAAAUUUACAUAAACAUGUCAUUACAAAAAUAAGAGACAUCCCUUUCAAGUAAAAAAUUGCUCUCAGCAGUAUGUCAGUCAUUUGAGUGAUCGAUUCUUCUUCUCUUGAUUUUCAAAUCCCUGUGAUAGUGGGUUUAUGCAGUUUGUAGAUAUCGUCUGAGAAAACUAAGUGUUGAAUUUGCUUUGAGGAAAUAGAAAAUAGACUAUAUUUUUGCUACAAGAAAACCCCAAAACAUAAUCUUUUAUCUUAAAUGAUGCAAUCUAUAUGCGUGAUCCGAACAGCAUGACCGGUCUUAUCUACAUUUUCUGUCUGAGUAACUACUUUUCCUGAAAAAUUGACGAAUUCGUUCCUUUCGUAGUAUAUAUUUAUUCCAAAAACGAUAGAUCCGCGAUGUAGCUUUUUUGCACUGAUGCGGCGUGAUGCAAAAAUCAAUCAAUAAAUCAAAAUCAACGAAACGAAACGUAGCCAGGAGCCUCUUUUUCAGAGAUUGUCGUUGGUUGAUGUAUGUCUUAAAGUAAUAAGAAGAUGUGGUAUGAGUGCCAAUGAGACAACUCUCCAUCCAAGUCACAAUUUGUAAAAGUAAACCAUUAUAGGUCAAAGUACGGUCUUCAACACGGAGCCUUGGCUCACAUCGAACAGAAAGCUAUACUAGUAUAUAUAUAAUGGGCCCAUAAAAAAUACUAAUAUAAAAUCAUUCAAACAAAAAAACCAACGGUGUAAUCUAUAUAAAAAAAAACGAGAAACGUACACGAACCACAUCAACAAACGACAACCACUAAAUAUCAGGUUUCUGACUUAGUACAGGUGCAAACAAAUGCAACGGGUUUAAACGUUUUAAUAGGUACCAACCUUCACCCUUCAACCAUACCACGUCUUCUUAUUUCAAUAUCAGUCAAACGUUUUGUCAUUACACCUUUAACAAUAUUUUUUCAAGAGUCCAGUAACGGUCUGCCAGGAACAACGUAUACAAAAUGGACUUGGACAGAAUGGUUUGACACAGAUUCAGGAGAUCUAGAAACAGAAAUAGAAACCUAUGAUUCUAUUGUAGCG